UGGGGGAUAUUGCACAAUGGGCGAAAGCCUGAUGCAGCGACGCCGCGUGGGGGAUGAAGGCCUUCGGGUUGUAAAGCACUUUCAGCGGGGAGGAAGGCGUUAAGGUUAAUAACCUUGGCGAUUGACGUUACCCGCAGAAGAAGCACCGGCUAACUCCGUGCCAGCAGCCGCGGUAAUACGGAGGGUGCAAGCGUUAAUCGGAAUUACUGGGCGUAAAGCGCACGCAGGCGGUCUGUCAAGUCGGAUGUGAAAUCCCCGGGCUCAACCUGGGAACUGCAUUCGAAACUGGCAGGCUAGAGUCUUGUAGAGGGGGGUAGAAUUCCAGGUGUAGCGGUGAAAUGCGUAGAGAUCUGGAGGAAUACCGGUGGCGAAGGCGGCCCCCUGGACAAAGACUGACGCUCAGGUGCGAAAGCGUGGGGAGCAAACAGG
Molecule: ribosomal RNA, 429 nt
Filed under: Chloroflexota bacterium
Lineage: Bacteria; Bacillati; Chloroflexota
Description: Chloroflexi bacterium partial 16S ribosomal RNA
Rfam family: Bacterial small subunit ribosomal RNA
Source: RNAcentral